Molecule: ribosomal RNA, 274 nt
Filed under: uncultured bacterium
Lineage: Bacteria
Description: partial 16S ribosomal RNA
Rfam family: Bacterial small subunit ribosomal RNA
Source: RNAcentral
AUACGGAGGGUGCAAGCGUUAUCCGGAUUUAUUGGGUUUAAAGGGUGCGCAGGCGGAUAUUUAAGUCAGUGGUGAAAUCCCGGGGCUCAACCUCGGAACUGCCAUUGAUACUGAAUAUCUGGAAUACGGUUGAAGUGGGCGGAAUGUAGCAUGUAGCGGUGAAAUGCAUAGAGAUGCUACAGAACACCGAUCGCGAAGGCAGCUCACUAAGCCGAUAUUGACGCUCAGGCACGAAAGCGUGGGGAGCGAACAGGAUUAGAAACCCCAGUAGUCC